UUAGUAUCCGGAGAGAAGCCAGAUCAUGUGACCAUGAUUGGAGUUCUAUGUGCAUGUAGUCAUGCAGGAUUGGUUGAGGAGGGGCGUCGAUAUUUCUAUUCCAUGGACACAGAGUAUGGGUUGACACCAUUUAAGGACCACUAUACAUGCAUGGUUGACUUACUUGGCAAGGCUGGUUGCUUAGAAGAGGCAAAGGAUUUGAUUGAAUCCAUGCCGAUGCCACCAGAUAGUGCGGUAUGGGGG
Molecule: unclassified non-coding RNA, 243 nt
Filed under: Hevea brasiliensis (rubber tree)
Lineage: Eukaryota; Viridiplantae; Streptophyta; Magnoliopsida; Malpighiales; Euphorbiaceae
Source: RNAcentral